UCUUCCGCUAGUGGCUGCAAAGGAACCUCUGCAGCCUGAACUCCGGUGCGCCGGGUUUUGAGAGCUGCCACCAGCUCAGGGAGGGAGUGGAACGCGCGGCAGCCACAGAGCACAAGGUUCAUAGCCAGGAUUGGUCGCAAGUAGGGAGCUUUUGCCACUCCGCCGGGACCUUCGGACGUCGGCAGUGGAGCAAGCCCAGUUCUCCUAGGCGCUGUGCUUGGACUGGAUUGUUCCUGGAAAGAAAGGAAAUUGCCUAGCACAGAGCACUGGACCGGGAGAUCCCAAGCCUUUCAGGAGGACUUCACACUGGCUCCUGAGCUAAAGCUUAUAGAUAGGAGAUUAGAUUCACCUGGAACAUUGACUUGCCAGCAGAAGGAAAGCCUUUCUCUUAUGGAGAAUCACCAUAGGUCACUCAGAAAGAAAG
This 424-nucleotide long non-coding RNA is filed under the name Mus spicilegus (steppe mouse). Its description in RNAcentral is "lncRNA (ENSMSIG00000023395.1)". Lineage: Eukaryota; Metazoa; Chordata; Mammalia; Rodentia; Muridae. The record is from RNAcentral.